UUUAGUAUAAAUUUAUUGAAUUUAUUAAUUUUUAAAUUAAUUAUAUUAAAAAUAAUUUUAUCAAUUUUGUUUUUGUAUUUUAUAAAGAAAAAAUAAUUUAUAAUAAUAGUUUAUUAGUAUUGUAAAAUAAUAUUGAAAUAAUUUGAAAAAUUUUUAUUUGAAAAGAAAAUUUAUUUUAUUGUACCUUGUGUAUCAGGGUUUAUUAAUUAAAUAAUAAUUAAUUUAUUUUUUUCGAAGUUAAGAGAUCUAAUUAUUUAUAUAUUUUAUUGUAGUAUAAAUAUAAAUAAUAAAUAAUUAGAAAUGAAAUGUUAUUCGUUCUUAAAUAUAUCUAGUUUUUUAAGAAAUAAAUUUAAUUUAAAUAUAAUUUAUUUAUUUAAUUAAUUUGUUAAUUAAUUAUUUUAUUAUAUUAAUAUUUUAAGGGAUAAGCUUUAAAAUAUAAUUUUAUAAUUAAUAUUUUAUUUUAUUAAUUGUAGGCUUUAAAUUAGCUAUCAUUAAAAAAUAUGUUAUAAUUUAUUUUAUAUAUAAAAUAUUUAUUUUUAUUUUAAAUUUUUAUUAAAAUAUUUAAUUUAAUUGUAAAAUUGAAGUUAUAAUGAUAAAAUUAGUAUAAUAUAUACAUAUAAUUAAAGUAAUUUUUGUAUUGAAAGGUUUUUUUAAUUAAUUCGGCAAAUAUAAUUUUUGCCUGUUUAUCAAAAACAUGUCUUUUUGUUAUUUAUUUAAAGUCUAACCUGCCCACUGAAAAUUUUAAAGGGCUGCGGUAUUUUGACCGUGCAAAGGUAGCAUAAUCAUUAGUUUUUUAAUUGAAAGCUUGUAUGAAAGGUUGAACAAAAAAUUAGCUGUCUCAUGGAAAUUUAUGAUUGAAUUUUAUUUUUUUGUUAAAAAGCAAAAAUAUUUUUAAAGGACGAGAAGACCCUAUAGAGUUUUAUAAUUUUAUAAUUUAAUUUAUAUAGUAUAUUUUUGAUUUUAUUAAAAAUUUUAUUUAAUUGGGGUGAUAUUAAGAUUUAUUUAACUCUUAUUUAAUUUAUUGCCAUUAAUUUAUGAAUAAUUGAUCCAUUUUUAUUGAUUAUAAAUUUAAGUUACCUUAGGGAUAACAGCGUAAUUUUUUUUGAGAGUUCAUAUCGAUAAAAAAGAUUGCGACCUCGAUGUUGGAUUAAGAAUUAUUUUAGGUGUAGAAGUUUAAAUUUUAGGUCUGUUCGACCUUUAAAUUCUUACAUGAUCUGAGUUCAAACCGGUUUAAGCCAGGUUGGUUUCUAUCCUUAAAUAUUUAUUUAUAUUUUAGUACGAAAGGACCAAAUAUUGAAAAUAUUUAUUUUUAAAUUUAGAAUUUAAUUAAUUUAAUAUAA
RNAcentral lists this ribosomal RNA (1340 nucleotides) under Paradelphomyia sp. ZK-2016. RNAcentral's name for it is "16S ribosomal RNA". The stretch from base 1084 to 1242 matches the Rfam family "Archaeal large subunit ribosomal RNA", at positions 2544 to 2703 of the family's 2987-position model. The record is from RNAcentral. Lineage: Eukaryota; Metazoa; Arthropoda; Insecta; Diptera; Limoniidae.